AGUGAACGCUGGCGGUAGGCCUAACACAUGCAAGUCGAACGGCAGCACAGGAGAGCUUGCUCUCUGGGUGGCGAGUGGCGGACGGGUGAGGAAUACAUCGGAAUCUACUUUUUCGUGAGGGAUAACGUAGGGAAACUUACGCUAAUACCGCAUACGACCUACGGGUGAAAGCAGGGGACAUUCGGGCCUUGCGCGAUUGAAUGAGCCGAUGUCGGAUUAGCUAGUUGGCGGGGUAAAGGCCCACCAAGGCGACGAUCCGUAGCUGGUCUAAGAGGAUGAUCAGCCACACUGGAACUGAGACACGGUCCAGACUCCUACGGGAGGCAGCAGUGGGGAAUAUUGGACAAUGGGCGCAAGCCUGAUCCAGCCAUACCGCGUGGGUGAAGAAGGCCUUCGGGUUGUAAAGCCCUUUUGUUGGGAAAGAGAUCCAGCUGGCUAAUACCCGGUUGGGAUGACGGUACCCAAAGAAUAAGCACCGGCUAACUUCGUGCCAGCCGCCGCGGUAA
This 506-nucleotide ribosomal RNA is filed under the name uncultured bacterium. Its description in RNAcentral is "partial 16S ribosomal RNA". It matches the Rfam family "Bacterial small subunit ribosomal RNA", at positions 29 to 523 of the family's 1533-position model. The record is from RNAcentral.